CAAGACAUAGCUUAACUAAAGCAUUUAGUUUACACCUAAAAGAUUUCACACACUAUGAAUGUCUUGA
This 67-nucleotide transfer RNA is filed under the name Pantholops hodgsonii (chiru). Its description in RNAcentral is "tRNA-Val". The record is from RNAcentral. Lineage: Eukaryota; Metazoa; Chordata; Mammalia; Artiodactyla; Bovidae.